CAAGCAUCGAGCAUAUCCAUUUCUUCACUUUACCAUUUACAUUUCAAGCAGCUGCAAAAAAUUAGGUUAGGAAAGAAAAAGGCAUCAGUUCUGGGUUUCUUCAUUGGAUUCAGGUACAAGCAGAGAUGAGUUCGAUUUAUCGAUGGGUAUUGACUGGAUUUAAUCAGCGAGAAGAAUAAGGAGCUGAUGAUACAGGAUCUGUGUUGUUUUGGGUUGAGAUUCAAGCUAAUUACUUAAACUUUUCUCAACAACGUCGAUUGAAUUUGGGGGUUAUUUGACAGUGGAAAAUGAUUGAAUAGUAUGGUUGUUUUCGUGAGUUGCAGGCAGUGGUAGUUGUUGUUACAGAAAUUUGGGGGUUUUGGUUUUCAAAGACGAGAUAGAACAUGGAAGUAAUGAUGAGUGUGUUGACAGUAUGGGGUACGAAUCGCUGAAGAGUUGGGACAUAUUUGAGCUGAAUUUGAUACCGGUGAAUCAGACCCAAGACCUGAUUUGGAUGAGAUGGCUGCCAAUGAUUCAUGGCUGAAAUUGAUGGGUUUUGUAUGAAAGGUUUGCUGGGGUAAUGGUUAAAUGGUUGUAUGAUUUCAGUUCAACAUCAUCAUCUGAAUUUUAGAGGUUUGUUUACAUGGGUUGUUGAAUCAGUGGUGUAGGGCUAUGAUGGUUGCUGUUGAUGGGAAAUUUUGGUUGAUGUUUACAUUGAAUGAAUUGUGAGAAAUUACAGAAAGAGGGUUGUUUAUAUCGAGUCAAAUACAGGUCACUGAUUUCAGCUGUUGUAAGCAGAAAUACGAGGAAGAGAUAAAAAUAUGUGGAGUGAUUUUCCCCCAAUCCAGGAAGGGUUUGAAUCAAUCAUUCGAGAUGGGUGUGUUGUGUACCAAAUGGGGAGAUAAUAAGGGUUGAUUUCAAUCCUUUAGGCAUGAAAAUAUGGUUGAAUCCAGACUACAAAUCAGAGAACAAGUCACGACAUUGGUGUAUAAAGCAAGAAGAAGAAUCAACCAAAAAGGGGAUAGCUCUAAAGACUUGGUGACAUUGGGAGCUGGUUAUGGUUGUAGGAAACAUGUGUUGAUUGUUUUAAAUAUGGGUAGGCUGAGAUCUGGCCAAAAUCACAGCUGUUUGGGUAACAUUGUAUCUGUUUCUUGCCUCUCUCUUAGUCUCAUAUUGUUGCUGCUUUGCUUUCUUGUCUAUUUAGUCUUGAUUGGUUGUUGGGUUUCUUUACAAGUGUAUGCAAUAUUCUAGGUCUGAUCAUUUUAAUGAUUGGGUAACUAUCAUCGUUUUGCUAAUAGGGUAUUAGAGAAUCACCCUAGUCAUCCAAUGGCAGAUGAAGCGUCUAGAGAAGCUGCGAGAUUAGCGGCUGAGGCUGAAGCUGCUAGAAUAGCUGUUGAAGCCGCAUCCAAUGCUAAUGGACCUAGAACCCUUAGGGAUUAUUUGCAUCCAGAAAGAACUUCUACAUCUUCUUGUAUAUUUCUUACGGCUAAUGCUGGAAAUGUAUCGAUAAAAUAUGGGCAGAUACAAGCACUGCCUAAGUUUCAUGGUUUGGACUCCGAAAGUCUAUACAUACAUUUGAAAGAAUUUGAUGAUGUUUGUGCUACUAUGCCUUUUGUUGCUGCGACUCAAGAUGUCGUGAAACUGAAAUUGUUUCCAUUUUCUCCAAAGGAGAAAGCUAA
Molecule: long non-coding RNA, 1658 nt
Organism: Papaver somniferum (opium poppy)
Lineage: Eukaryota; Viridiplantae; Streptophyta; Magnoliopsida; Ranunculales; Papaveraceae
Exons: 2
Source: RefSeq, a predicted model, not a curated record